This is a long non-coding RNA of Herpailurus yagouaroundi (jaguarundi), 749 nucleotides long. RefSeq lists it as uncharacterized. NCBI's taxonomy places the organism in Eukaryota, Metazoa, Chordata, Mammalia, Carnivora, Felidae. The record is from RefSeq and is a predicted model, not a curated record. The transcript has 2 exons.
CGCAGGCGCGAACGGCUCCGGGCUGGGACAAGCUGUGAAAUGGGGAUAAAGAUACUUUACAGGGUUACUGUGAAGAACAAAGGCAGCUCAGUUUUGCUCAUGAGCAAACUCCAGUUCACAGACAGAAACUUCGGAGAGGUUCAGUACCUUCCUUCAAACCACACAGGCCUGAUCACGGGACCGUCUAGCCCUGGCCCAUGUUCCUUAUCUACUUGCCGACUACCUGGUAAUGACACAGAGAGGCUCCUGAAGUGGAUGCAACACAUUGCUGGCUGGAGUAAUUGUUCUUGAAAGGAAGCCAGACCCAGCCAUCACCUGCAUAAAACCCUCCUGUGGCUCCCCACUGGUCUCAGGAUAGAUUCCAAACUCCUAGCCUGCCACUUAAGGCCCGGGGUCAUGGGCCUCCUUCAGUCAUGCUGGAUUCUAAUUUCCCAAAUGGUCAACUCUUUUCUGCAGCCUGAGCUACUUGUAACACUGACCACCUCUUUGUCCUUCGGGACACAGCUUGGUAUACACUUCCUCCAUGAAGCCUAUUCUCUCCCCAAUUCCAAAUUAGUAAAUGUUCCCACAGCUUAAUUAUCCCAUUGGCAAACUUUCUCCUCUAAUUCUCUACUUAUUUCUGUUUCCUCCUGGAGACUCCAACUUCCCUGAGGGUGGAGACCAUGUCAAUCCUGUUUACUUGUCUUUCCAGUGCCAGGAAUAUACUAGAAGGCUUUCAGUAAAUGUAGAAUAAAUGAAUGGUUAAUGGG